CGCACAUUGCGCCUGCUGGUAUUCCGGUAGGCAUGCCUGUUUGAGCGUCAGCAAAACCUCUCAACAAUUUUUUAUUGUUGGUUAUGGGUGCGGAGGACUAGCCUAACGGCUGCUCCCGCCUUAAACUUGCUGCACGACCACAAGCUAUUGCUAGGUUAAUGGAGUGGUGUUUACAUUAUAUUCCAGCGAUUAGCAUAACUUGGUGGCGUUAAAUUUACGUUGCACUUGCAAUUGAAGUUUGACCUCAAAUCAGACAAGGAUACCCACUGAACUUAA
Molecule: unclassified non-coding RNA, 276 nt
Filed under: Orbiliomycetes sp.
Lineage: Eukaryota; Fungi; Ascomycota; Orbiliomycetes
Description: partial contains 5.8S ribosomal RNA, internal transcribed spacer 2, and large subunit ribosomal RNA
Source: RNAcentral